AGAGUUUGAUCAUGGCUCAGAUUGAACGCUGGCGGCAGGCCUAACACAUGCAAGUCGAACGGUAACAGGAAGCAGCUUGCUGCUUCGCUGACGAGUGGCGGACGGGUGAGUAAUGUCUGGGAAGCUGCCUGAUGGAGGGGGAUAACUACUGGAAACGGUAGCUAAUACCGCAUAAUGUCGCAAGACCAAAGAGGGGGACCUUCGGGCCUCUUGCCAUCGGAUGUGCCCAGAUGGGAUUAGCUUGUUGGUGGGGUAACGGCUCACCAAGGCGACGAUCCCUAGCUGGUCUGAGAGGAUGACCAGCCACACUGGAACUGAGACACGGUCCAGACUCCUGCGGGAGGCAGCAGUGGGGAAUAUUGCACAAUGGGCGCAAGCCUGAUGCAGCCAUGCCGCGUGUAUGAAGAAGGCCUUCGGGUUGUAAAGUACUUUCAGCGGGGAGGAAGGGAGUAAAGUUAAUACCUUUGCUCAUUGACGUUACCCGCAGAAGAAGCACCGGCUAACUCCGUGCCAGCAGCCGCGGUAAUACGGAGGGUGCAAGCGUUAAUCGGAAUUACUGGGCGUAAAGCGCACGCAGGCGGUUUGUUAAGUCAGAUGUGAAAUCCCCGGGCUCAACCUGGGAACUGCAUCUGAUACUGGCAAGCUUGAGUCUCGUAGAGGGGGGUAGAAUUCCAGGUGUAGCGGUGAAAUGCGUAGAGAUCUGGAGGAAUACCGGUGGCGAAGGCGGCCCCCUGGACGAAGACUGACGCUCAGGUGCGAAAGCGUGGGGAGCAAACAGGAUUAGAUACCCUGGUAGUCCACGCCGUAAACGAUGUCGACUUGGAGGUUGUGCCCUUGAGGCGUGGCUUCCGGAGCUAACGCGUUAAGUCGACCGCCUGGGGAGUACGGCCGCAAGGUUAAAACUCAAAUGAAUUGACGGGGGCCCGCACAAGCGGUGGAGCAUGUGGUUUAAUUCGAUGCAACGCGAAGAACCUUACCUGGUCUUGACAUCCACGGAAGUUUUCAGAGAUGAGAAUGUGCCUUCGGGAACCGUGAGACAGGUGCUGCAUGGCUGUCGUCAGCUCGUGUUGUGAAAUGUUGGGUUAAGUCCCGCAACGAGCGCAACCCUUAUCCUUUGUUGCCAGCGGUCCGGCCGGGAACUCAAAGGAGACUGCCAGUGAUAAACUGGAGGAAGGUGGGGAUGACGUCAAGUCAUCAUGGCCCUUACGACCAGGGCUACACACGUGCUACAAUGGCGCAUACAAAGAGAAGCGACCUCGCGAGAGCAAGCGGACCUCAUAAAGUGCGUCGUAGUCCGGAUUGGAGUCUGCAACUCGACUCCAUGAAGUCGGAAUCGCUAGUAAUCGUGGAUCAGAAUGCCACGGUGAAUACGUUCCCGGGCCUUGUACACACCGCCCGUCACACCAUGGGAGUGGGUUGCAAAAGAAGUAGGUAGCUUAACCUUCGGGAGGGCGCUUACCACUUUGUGAUUCAUGACUGGGGUGAAGUCGGAACAAGGUAACCGUAGGGGACCUGCGGUUG
This 1521-nucleotide ribosomal RNA is filed under the name metagenome. RNAcentral's name for it is "bacterial SSU rRNA". It matches the Rfam family "Bacterial small subunit ribosomal RNA". The record is from RNAcentral.